Molecule: ribosomal RNA, 481 nt
Filed under: uncultured bacterium
Lineage: Bacteria
Description: partial 16S ribosomal RNA
Rfam family: Bacterial small subunit ribosomal RNA
Source: RNAcentral
GAUGAACGCUGGCGGCGUGCUUAACACAUGCAAGUCGAACGAAGCACUUUAUUUGAUUUCCUUCGGGACUGAUUAUUUUGUGACUGAGUGGCGGACGGGUGAGUAACGCGUGGGUAACCUGCCUUGUACAGGGGGAUAACAGUUGGAAACGGCUGCUAAUACCGCAUAAGCGCACAGCAUCGCAUGAUGCAGUGUGAAAAACUCCGGUGGUAUAAGAUGGACCCGCGUUGGAUUAGCUAGUUGGUGAGGUAACGGCCCACCAAGGCGACGAUCCAUAGCCGACCUGAGAGGGUGACCGGCCACAGUGGGACUGAGACACGGCCCAAACUCCUACGGGAGGCAGCAGUGGGGAAUAUUGCACAAUGGGCGAAAGCCUGAUGCAGCGACGCCGCGUGAGCGAAGAAGUAUUUCGGUAUGUAAAGCUCUAUCAGCAGGGAAGAUAAUGACGGUACCUGACUAAGAAGCACCGGCUAAAUACGUG